RNAcentral lists this long non-coding RNA (225 nucleotides) under Panax ginseng (ginseng). RNAcentral's name for it is "long non-coding RNA (PGIN_LNC012411)". Lineage: Eukaryota; Viridiplantae; Streptophyta; Magnoliopsida; Apiales; Araliaceae. The record is from RNAcentral.
ACUCGCUUCUUCUAUUUUCAUGGCCACGAUUACCACCAGAGUGGUUGUCGCUCUUGUCAGUAUUUUUCUUUCUCCGCUGGUUAUCGUUGUUCUGAUGACUGCUGUCACUGGUAUGAUCCUGGUUGCGGUCUCUUGGUUGAACGUACUCGCAUCUCGCUCUAAUAAUUGAGCCCUGUUGACAACAUCUGAAUAUAAAGAAAAUUUAUGAGAAAUAAGAUAUUGCCG